Molecule: non-coding RNA, 381 nt
Organism: Vicia faba (fava bean)
Lineage: Eukaryota; Viridiplantae; Streptophyta; Magnoliopsida; Fabales; Fabaceae
Source: the annotation of a GenBank genome assembly
CGCUACCUUUGCUUUUCCAACGUUACAGAUUCACUUGUAAAACAAAAAAGAAAACUUUCCAUCUUCUUCGUUUGCUACACGCCUACACUCAUAAAUCAAGUCGCCACCACAGUUACACAUUAUCUCUGUAGCUGCGCGGCAGUAGCGGUAACGACGUUGUUUGUUCAUAGCUUCAACGCUUACGGUGAUGACAUUUUUGUUCACGACUUAAAGUUCAAUAACAGUUUCGACAACGAUUUUGCCGGCGGCUUCGAUGACUUCGUUCACGGUAUGAUGGUGCUAGUAAUUUGUGGAAUGAAUUGUAGACACUAUUUCUCAAGGAUUGUCCACAUUGUUUUGUACACAAAUUACAACUUACUGAGAAAUUUUUAUUGUUCAUGA